CAUCCCGAGGAGAAAAAUAUGAAAAUGAAAAAUGAACUCAAGGAAAAACCGAACUAACUAGCCGCAAGUAUUUCAGUGCGUACAGAUAAGUUGAAAUAUCUCCGCCUGCCACGCCCAUACCCAUCACACACACCCACACACACCAUAUGCUAAAUUCAAAAUGAAUAAAAAAAAUUGUUAAAAAAGAAAGAACAAAAAAUAUAAAAGGGAAGGGGAAAAGGGCAAUUCACAAAGCCAAGCCAGCCCUCCUCUUCCAUUUCUUCUCAUGCCCGAAAUGAUGCGAUGACGACAACGCCUUUUUCAACUUUCCCUUCCCACGACCACCACCCGUAGAACUCGACCCGGACCCCCACCCACGUCCAAACCCA
This 368-nucleotide small RNA is filed under the name Histoplasma capsulatum. RNAcentral describes it as "hypothetical RNA". Lineage: Eukaryota; Fungi; Ascomycota; Eurotiomycetes; Onygenales; Ajellomycetaceae. RNAcentral also lists the same sequence under 1 other name. The record is from RNAcentral.